UCCUCGCAUCGUGGUGAUUUGGCCGGCCGGCUUGCAGCCACGUUAAACAAGUCGCUAAAGGGCCGUCGACGACUUGAC
Molecule: non-coding RNA, 78 nt
Filed under: Aurantimonas sp. Leaf443
Lineage: Bacteria; Pseudomonadati; Pseudomonadota; Alphaproteobacteria; Hyphomicrobiales; Aurantimonadaceae
Also listed under: 1 other name
Description: Alpha-proteobacteria SAM riboswitch aptamer
Rfam family: Alpha-proteobacteria SAM riboswitch aptamer
About the family: This family is a riboswitch found predominantly in alpha-proteobacteria that binds S-adenosyl methionine (SAM).
Source: Rfam by way of RNAcentral